RNAcentral lists this ribosomal RNA (296 nucleotides) under uncultured bacterium. RNAcentral describes it as "partial 16S ribosomal RNA". The record is from RNAcentral.
GGACUACUGGGGUUUCUAAUCCCAUUCGCUCCCCACGCUUUCGUCCUAGCAGUGUCAGGUGGCACCCAGAAGCUUGCCUUCGCUAUUGGUGUUCCGAACGAUAUCAACGCAUUUCACUACUACACCGUUCGUUCCAGCUUCCUCUUUGCCCCUCGAGUCAUAUAGUUUCAAAGGACAGAUUCCGAGUUGAGCUCGGAGAUUUCACCUCUGACUUAUAUAACCACCGAUCGGUACGCUUUACGCCCAAUGAUUCCGGAUAACGCUUGAGGUCUCUGUAUUACCGCGGCUGCUGGCAC